This 468-nucleotide ribosomal RNA is filed under the name uncultured bacterium. RNAcentral describes it as "partial 16S ribosomal RNA". It matches the Rfam family "Bacterial small subunit ribosomal RNA", at positions 28 to 507 of the family's 1533-position model. The record is from RNAcentral.
GACGAACGCUGGCGGCGUGCUUAACACAUGCAAGUCGAACGGAAAGGCCCUGCUUUUGUGGGGUGCUCGAGUGGCGAACGGGUGAGUAACACGUGAGUAACCUGCCCUUGACUUUGGGAUAACUUCAGGAAACUGGGGCUAAUACCGGAUAGGAGCUCCUGCUGCAUGGUGGGGGUUGGAAAGUUUCGGCGGUUGGGGAUGGACUCGCGGCUGAUCAGCUUGUUGGUGGGGUAGUGGUUUACCAAGGCUUUGACGGGUAGCCGGCCCGAGAGGGUGACCGGCGACCUUGGGCCUGAGAUAGGGCGCAGACGGCUACGGGAGGCAGCAGGGGGGAACAUGGCACAAUGGGCGGACGUCUGAUGCAGCAACGCCGCGUGCGGGAUGACGGCCUUCGGGGUGUAAAACGCUUUCGCCUGUGACGAAGCGUGAGUGACGGUAAUGGGUAAAGAAGCACCGGCUAACUACGUG